This 348-nucleotide unclassified non-coding RNA is filed under the name soil metagenome. RNAcentral describes it as "partial contains 5.8S ribosomal RNA, internal transcribed spacer 2, and large subunit ribosomal RNA". The stretch from base 1 to 120 matches the Rfam family "5.8S ribosomal RNA", at positions 35 to 154 of the family's 154-position model. The record is from RNAcentral.
GUUGAAGAACGUAGCGAAAUGCGAUAAGUAGUGUGAAUUGCAGAAUUCAGUGAAUCAUCGAAUCUUUGAACGCACAUUGCGCCCUCUGGUAUUCCGGAGGGCAUGCCUGUUCGAGCGUCAUUAAAACUACUCAAGCUAAGGUUUUACCUUCUGCUUGGUCUUGGGUUUGAGGAUUCAAAAUCCUCUCUCCGAAAUCCAGUGGCGAAUUGUUUGAGCUGUAGACGUAGUAAAUCAUUCUACCCGUUGCAAGCGAGAAUAAUAUUCAGCCAUAACCCCCAUACUUUUCUAGUUUGACCUCGGAUCAGGUAGGGAUACCCGCUGAACUUAAGCAUAUCAAUAAGCGGAGGA